RNAcentral lists this ribosomal RNA (540 nucleotides) under uncultured Candidatus Poseidoniales archaeon. RNAcentral describes it as "bacterial SSU rRNA". It matches the Rfam family "Archaeal small subunit ribosomal RNA", at positions 1 to 548 of the family's 1478-position model. Lineage: Archaea; Methanobacteriati; Thermoplasmatota; Candidatus Poseidoniia; Candidatus Poseidoniales. The record is from RNAcentral.
AUCUGGUUGAUCCUGCCAGAGGCGACCGCUUUUGGAGUUCGAUUAAGCCAUGCGAGUAGAAAGAAAUUAGACUCUUUGCGAACUGCUCAGUAACACGUGGAUAACCUGCCCUAUGCUCCGGAAUAACCUCGGGAAACUGAGAAUAAUACCGGAUAGAUCACAACGCCUGGAACGGUGUGUGGUUGAAAGAUUACGGCAUAGGAUGGGUCUGCGGCGUAUCAGGUUGUAGGGGGUGUAAAGGACCUCCUAGCCAUCGACGCGUACGGGUGUUGGGAGACAUAGCCCGGAGAUGGAUUCUGAGACACGAAUCCAGACCCUACGGGGUGCAGCAGGCGCGAAAACUUCACACUGCAGGAAACUGUGAUGAGGGAACUCCAAGUGCACGCACUUAGUGUGUGCUUUUUUCAACUAUUAAUCGGUUGAAGAAUAAGGGCUGGGAAAGACCGGUGCCAGCCGCCGCGGUAAUACCGGCAGCUCAAGUGGUCGUCGCUUUUAUUGGGCCUAAAACGUCCGUAGCCUGUUUGGUAAAUCUGUGGGUAA